CGACCGGCGCACGGGUGAGUAACGCGUAUGCAACCUGCCCGGUUUCAGCCGGGAUAACCCGGAGAAAUCCGGCCUAAUACCGCAUGUGGCCGACGGGGAGGCAUCUUCUUUCGGCCAAAGGAGGCAACUCCGGAGACGGAUGGGCAUGCGUGACAUUAGCUUGUUGGCGGGGUAACGGCCCACCAAGGCGACGAUGUCUAGGGGUUCUGAGAGGAAGGUACCCCCACACUGGUACUGAGACACGGGCCAGACUCCUACGGAAGGCAGCAG
This 270-nucleotide ribosomal RNA is filed under the name uncultured bacterium. Its description in RNAcentral is "partial 16S ribosomal RNA". It matches the Rfam family "Bacterial small subunit ribosomal RNA", at positions 92 to 354 of the family's 1533-position model. The record is from RNAcentral.